CGUAACCAUUAUUUUGUUGCUUUCCAGAGUAGCUGUUUGCGCGUGUGAAUUCGUAGUUUAAUUCUAUCUGGCAAAAUGUGUGGCAUAUGAAACCGCUCAACUGUUGUUUAUGAAUCUGUCAGCAUAUACAUUUAGAUACAAAUAAUACGGAUGUUAGGACUGCAUUUCCCAUAGUGCUUUAGAUUAGUCAUAUGUAAAUACACUAGAACUGUAAUGGAGAUCUCCAGCAGUGCAGGACUGUCAUGACAUUCUGCACCUAAAAACCAGAGGACAUACAUCACCAGCAUGAUUGUUCUCCAGCACAGCCUCAUUUCUCUGCUUAAAGUCGUCUCAUGUCCUCUCCUCUCUCUGCUCACUUAUCCUUCAUGCCUGUGUGUUUUCUUUCAGUCUGUCCUUCACCUCCCUUCUCUGCUGUUGUCCUCUGCAGUUUGUCUAGCCUGUCACAUUUUCUUUCACUACUCUCCUCUUGGACUUCUGAUCCCUCAACCCUCCUUCAGCUUGUUUGCUUUUUGCACCUUCUGACACUCGGACGUCUCUUCCUUUAUGUCUCUCUAUCAAACGUUGUCUCUUUCAGUCCCUAUCGCUCUGUCUCUUUCUGUUUAUCUGUCUCUCCCUCUUUCUCCCCAUGUUUUUCUCUUCCUUUCUGCCUGCCCGUCUGUCUCUCCGUUUAUCCGUCUCUCCUUCUCCCCGUUGUUUCCGUUUCUCUCCACUGUGGUCUCAGACUUACCUCCCCUGCCUCUCCCCCUCUCGCUGUUUGUCUCUCAGUGUACGUGAGGUUUAACUCCAGCCAUGGCUUCCCGGUGGAGCUCGAGGAGGGGGCCAGUGUUGCCACGCUGAAGGAGAUGGUGGGGAGGCUGCAGGGGGUACUGCCGGAGCAGCUCAGGGUUAUCUUCGCCGGCCGUGAGCUGCGCAGCGACUCCACCCUCCAGGGCUGCGACCUCCCAGAACAGAGUACUGUGCACGUGGUGUUGCCUUCUUCCACCUCCGCCCGGCGCUCUGACCUGGUUCUGCAGCAUCGCCUCGGUCGGGCGGUGGACAGCCUCACUGGCCUGGACCUCACCGCCUCCCGUCUUACUGCCACCUCCACCGGCCUGGCCGUCGUACUGGAAACCGAGGACGAGCAGAGACCCAGGGAAGAACCUGGAAGCACAGUGCCCAGACCUCACAGCAACUUCUAUGUGUACUGCAAGAGUGUGUGCCGGUCCAUCCAGCCGGGGAAGUUACGGGUGCGCUGUGGAGCCUGCAAGCAGGGAACCCUCACCCUUAGCCGACGGCUUAGAGAUCAGGUAAGUCCACAGUGCAUACUAAUCCCAAACAGAGCAACUUACCCCACCUCCACCCCCCCCACUUUUUGUUUUUGUUUAACACUACUAAUCUGUUCUCAUUCUCCAAUGGAGGAAUUCAAUCGAGUCACACAUUUCCACAGUGACUCUGGAAAUCUCUCCCUCCGCUUGUCUGUCCAGCACGCAGCAACGUUUACCUCCGGUCUGUAUGGGACUUUUCUCUGUGUGUGGGAGUGGGCCGGCCUACCCACAGCUCAGGAUCCGGCCCAUUGUUUACUGAGAUUGAGUGACACCUCACUAAGCCCACCUGCCUGCUAUGUUGCCUCCGCUCGGCCACCGUGCUCAAAUAAUAUUUGUCUACUGUCGCCAUGCCAACAUGGUGCCGGUUUCCUGCCAGAGCUGGUGAUUACUUACCUGAAACUUGGACUGGACCCCAGUCAAUCACCACAAAUCUCCCCUUCCCAUUCCACCAGAAUAAACAUUCAGUCAGUCACAAAUGGCAAGUCUCUUUUCCCUCCCCAUAUUCAGCCCGAAGCAGAUAUCCAGGGUAACAUUCUCUCCCCUCUGACCACUGUCACGGCGCGGUCUACAUACCUGAGCAAUGACCAGCCGUAGGUACCUCUCGCACAUCUAUCUCCCCAUACACAGUCUGACAAACCCAUCUGUCCCCCCCUCCCCCCAGUGACAUCCAUCUAGGAGGGAAAUUAUUGCCCCCUGAUGUGCAUCAAUCACAAGUCACAAAUAUAUCAAAUUUGAAUCUAUCACAUUUAUUUGAUAAAGCAUUUUUUUCAGUAAAGUGCUUAAACAGACAUCCAGCCUAAAACCCCAAAGAGAAAGCAACUACAUGAUAUUGAUUCACAAUGGCUAGGAAAAACUACCUAGUAGGGUUAGAAAACUCUGAGGGUUGACUGGUCCUCUUCUGGCUGUGCCUGGUGAACAUUAUGAUAGUCCAUGAUCUGUGAAAGCCUGGUCUAAUAUUUGUGCAUGUUCAGAUGACCAGAUAUCCACAACCAGAUGAACAAGGAAAGGGAUGACCAGCUGUGCUGUGGGCAGUGACAGAAUGGGUCGACUGGCUGGAACUAGAUCUGCACCGCAGCAAGGUGGACAAGAACAGGGACAACUAGGAUUUGUCAGGCCAGUGAGUGCAAGAAACUGGAAAAUAACCAUGUCUCCUCUACAAGUGAGCUGGGUCGCCAUGGCUCCUCUACGAGUGAGCUGGGUCACCAUGGCUCCUCUACGAGUGAGCUGUGUCGCCAUGGCUCCUCUACGAGUGAGCUGGGUCGCCAUGGCUCCUCUACGAGUGAGCUGGGUCGCCAUGGCUCCUCUACGAGUGAGCUGGGUCGCCAUGGCUCCUCUACGAGUGAGCUGGGUCGCCAUGGCUCCUCUACGAGUGAGCUGGGUCGCCAUGGCUCCUCUACGAGUGAGCUGGGUCGCCAUGGCUCCUCUACGAGUGAGCUGGGUCGCCAUGGCUCCUCUACGAGUGAGAUGGAUUUUUGGGCUGCUUUUCUAGUGAGCUGGAUCACUUUAGCUGCUCUACGAGUCAUAUUGAUCACUUUGGGUGCUCUACUAGUGUACAGCGGGGUCCUACUUCUGACAACCAAUCACAUAGAUCGGCCCUUGCUGUAAGAUUAGCACAGCUGCUGCUGAGACAAACCCCAGUUUGUUAAACAAUAAUCUAAUUAAAGCUUUGCGGGAGAUGUCGAAUAUACUUCCAAAAUAAAGAGGGGGAGGAAGAGAGACAGAGGAGGAACUAAAGGCUAAGUGUUUCUGAAUUAUUCAUAACUGCUUUUCUCAUUAUUCAUUUAUAUUCUGGGGGAGGUUUGUGUGUCUUUUUUCUGUGUGUUUGUGGGUGUGCGCGUGCACGUCUUGUUGUGUGAGUGACCUUUCUUGGCUGUCUCUGAGCAGGUGUGUGUGUGUGUGUGUGUGAUCUCGAUGCCCCGCCGCCUAGCCACCCAGGAUACCCUCCCUCCCCUUCUCCCUCACCCAACAGGGGAGUAAUGAUUUUCUUAACCUUUUCAGAGGCUUAUUAAGGCCGCUGUCAGAAUGUUUAAAUGCUUAUGCUAAUGAGUGGUGGAACAGGCUUGAAUGACUGGGAUUCACCGAGUGGCCAGUGUCUGACUCCACACCAAGACAACACACAAUCACAGUGUGGCAACAAACUGCUGAAGCAUCUGGCUCAGUGGCUAAAUCAUUGGAGCUUGGAAGGCAAUUGUUUUGGGUUAGAUUCCAAUGGGAAACUAAAAGUGUCUAGAAAAUGGUCCAUCUUGUUGGGACGAUGUCCUUCUGCCCGAGCGUAUCCACGGCGUCUGUCAGUCAGAGGCGUGUCUUGGCAGAGUA
Molecule: RNA transcript, 3620 nt
Organism: Esox lucius (northern pike)
Lineage: Eukaryota; Metazoa; Chordata; Actinopteri; Esociformes; Esocidae
Gene: prkn
Gene name: parkin RBR E3 ubiquitin protein ligase
Exons: 6
Source: RefSeq, a predicted model, not a curated record